Suricata suricatta (meerkat) is the source of this 1109-nucleotide long non-coding RNA. RefSeq lists it as uncharacterized. The transcript is spliced from 4 exons. The record is from RefSeq and is a predicted model, not a curated record. NCBI's taxonomy places the organism in Eukaryota, Metazoa, Chordata, Mammalia, Carnivora, Herpestidae.
UCGAAAACACCGUGAAGGAACUGAGAGAGUAUUUAUUCUCAUGGCACUUUACGGAAACAGAAUCAGAGACUGUGAUUAAAAAUGUUCUGAUAAUCUCUGAAUUGCAGAGAUACCCACUAAGAGGCUCCCAAGGAUGAAAAGGUGGUUAUUUUGCAACUAAUUUCAGCCAGUCCGACACACAAAAGGACCGACCUGCUGACUUGCAAACUACCGGCUGGUGUGAGUGACUGACCAGUGAAAUGGAGCCGAGUAGGGGGCCUGCGCUUAAUCUCCGAGAAGCAUCAGGUACCCUUUAACAGAAUACAGACGACUUAAGAGUAUCUGUUCAAAUCUGCCACUAGUUUCUACCAUAGUAUGAAGAAAUUUCAGAGUACAAAUUACUAUCAGCUAUGUUAAGUCCUUGAAGAAGCAGGGCCUUUGUCUGCAUUGCUCUUUGACUUAAUUUUGAGCUAUUUCACUCAUGGCUACUUGACUCAUCAACUUGACUGACAGUGGCAAAUGUUAUCCUGAGAUUCCAUGGCACUAACCAGAGAAGAGGAGAAAACAGUCUGAGAGACUUCUAAUUCCGUAGAAGGUUAUCUGCUACAUGGUGGUAUUUGUAUGUUGGAAAUAUGACUGAAUUACAUAAUGAACUUCCGGUUUUUCUUUUCUUAUUAAAUUUUCCAUAGGUCUGAGGCUUUCAAGAGAGAAAAGUAUGUACCACAUAAUAACAAUGGCUGAGUAAAGAGAGAAACAGAAAACUACGGUCCGCUUAAGAAGGCAGGAUUCAAAGACAGAAUUCACUGAAUUCUAACAUUCAUACAGGCCUAACGAAGGAAUAGGAAAAGAAAAGCAAAACCACUGUUUCUGAGGGCCAAGUUUCAAAAAGUAGCUAAUGUUUACUCAAAAAAAUCAAUUAAAAAACAACUCUUCUUUUCUGAUAUUUAAAGACUGUUUUGGACUACUUUCUGUUUUCUUCUACCAAAACUAUGAUGAAGUAACACAACAAGAACAAUUUUUUAUAAUUACAUAGCUACAUGCUAAGCCAUUGUACAAAUCACAGAUGAAGUCAGCAACUAAAAAUAGUCCUUAAUUUCUUUUCUUUUUUUUCCCUUUUUUUAAAAUGUAUG